Long non-coding RNA from Homo sapiens (human), 339 nucleotides. RefSeq annotates it as TINAG antisense RNA 1. The transcript has 3 exons. NCBI's taxonomy places the organism in Eukaryota, Metazoa, Chordata, Mammalia, Primates, Hominidae. The record is from RefSeq and is a predicted model, not a curated record.
AAUUAACACGUUCGCCUUUAAUUCUGGGCCAUUUUCUACUCCAGUUUUCACUUGUACCAUCUCUACAGCACCUGCACAUGCUCAGGAACAUCAUUUCAAAGGAUACGGGGAAAAGAGAUGUCACAUGAACACGUCUUAGAAUUUACACUGUAAAUCAAACAAUGUUGCUGCAAAGGCAUGUAAGUUAAUAUAGAAACAAUGGAAGAAUGUAAAGAAAACUCAGAGACAGGGAAGAAAGCCAGGAUAGGCUCCAAGAUCAGCUGGAUGAGAUCACAACAUGUGACCCUCACAGAUGAUAGAUCAAGAAAAUGGGAAGAGCUUCAAAGCCCUGAAACCAUA